CCAGGAGUCUAUAUCUAUACCACAAGAUAUUGCACACAGAUGGAAGGGGGCUGCAAAUAUUUCUUGAUGGGUGUGUAAGACACAUGGCUGGAGAGACAGGAGCUGCGUUGCUGAUGAAGCAGCUGACCUGCGAUGAUGGACUUCCCUGUGAAGGGAACUUUCAGCUCCUGCACCUUGCCAGUGUAUUAUCCAUGGCAGCAGUGCUGGCUUUGGAGACAGGGAAAACAGAUUGAAGAAGUUAUUUUCUAAUGUGAUGAAAGGGCAGUGAAGACUAUCCGUCUUUACAUGAGCAGUGGACAAAAAUGAUCAUGUCAAAGGAAUGUAG
This 325-nucleotide long non-coding RNA is filed under the name Parus major (Great Tit). Its description in RNAcentral is "lncRNA (ENSPMJG00000015001.1)". Lineage: Eukaryota; Metazoa; Chordata; Aves; Passeriformes; Paridae. The record is from RNAcentral.